This 455-nucleotide ribosomal RNA is filed under the name uncultured bacterium. RNAcentral describes it as "bacterial SSU rRNA". It matches the Rfam family "Bacterial small subunit ribosomal RNA", at positions 28 to 505 of the family's 1533-position model. The record is from RNAcentral.
GACUAACGCUGGCGGAAUGCAUCAUACAUGCAAGUCGAACGAUGAGGCUCUUUCGGGAGUACAUCAGUGGCGGACGGGUGAGUAACGCGUAGAUAACGUGCCUUGCACUGGGGGACAACAGUUGGAAACGACUGCUAAUACCGCAUAAGACAUUUGACACAAGUUGAAUGUUUAAAGCUCCGGCGGUGCAAGAUCGGUCUGCGUCGGAUUAGCUUGUUGGUGGGGUAAUGGCCCACCAAGGCAACGAUCCGUAGCUGGUCUGAGAGGAUGAUCAGCCACAGUGGGACUGAGACACGGCCCACACUCCUACGGGAGGCAGCAGUAGGGAAUAUUGCGCAAUGGGCGAAAGCCUGACGCAGCAAUUCCGCGUGGAGGACGAAGUUUCUUGGAACGUAAACUCCUUUCGGUGGUGACGAAUAUGACGGUAACCACAGAAGAAGCACCGGCUAACUACG